This is a non-coding RNA of Vicugna pacos (alpaca), 392 nucleotides long. The record is from RefSeq and is a predicted model, not a curated record. NCBI's taxonomy places the organism in Eukaryota, Metazoa, Chordata, Mammalia, Artiodactyla, Camelidae.
AGCCUACCUGCUCUCCCCUGAGAGUGUAUUAUCGAUCCUUUAAUAAGUCCUCACUUUACCUUUUUAGCCUCUAAGUCUUGUCUCUGAAUUUUUUCUGGGACGGGACAAGAACCCGGUACACCGGUUGCAUCUAUCGGCGACAUCUUUGGCGAGCCAGCCAGGAGAUUGCAGAUCUGUUUCGGGGAGAAGGGAGUCCUUAGUGCACUCAAGGGAAUGGGGCUCCCUCUGCAUUCAUAUAAAUCCUCUCAUUUGAUUGGAAAAGAUCAGAGAAGCAGACUGCAGUGUGUCCAGAAUGUCCUGCCUGGAGCUAAGUGAAGAGCCAACAGAAAGGGAGAGUUCGCGCCUACGCCUACGACCCGUGACCACCAGGUGGCGUCUGACGGCCCCCGAGC